CAACAGUGCAAUGUGUGACACAACAGUGCUGAGUGUGACACAACAGUGCUGUGUGUGACACAACAGUGCAAUGUGUGACACAACAGUGCUGAGUGUGACACAACAGUGCUGAGUGUGACACAACAGUGCUGAGUGUGACACAACAGUGCAAUGUGUGACACAACAGUGCUGAAUGUGACACAACAGUGCAAUGUGUGACACAACAGUGCAAAUUCUGACACAACAGUGCUGAGUGUGACACAACAGUGCUG
This 251-nucleotide long non-coding RNA is filed under the name Gallus gallus (chicken). The record is from RNAcentral. Lineage: Eukaryota; Metazoa; Chordata; Aves; Galliformes; Phasianidae.